Molecule: ribosomal RNA, 301 nt
Filed under: uncultured bacterium
Lineage: Bacteria
Description: partial 16S ribosomal RNA
Rfam family: Bacterial small subunit ribosomal RNA
Source: RNAcentral
CAGCAGCCGCGGUAAUACGUAGGUGGCAAGCGUUGUCCGGAAUUAUUGGGCGUAAAGGGCUCGCAGGCGGUUUCUUAAGUCUGAUGUGAAAGCCCCCGGCUCAACCGGGGAGGGUCAUUGGAAACUGGGAAACUUGAGUGCAGAAGAGGAGAGUGGAAUUCCACGUGUAGCGGUGAAAUGCGUAGAGAUGUGGAGGAACACCAGUGGCGAAGGCGACUCUCUGGUCUGUAACUGACGCUGAGGAGCGAAAGCGUGGGGAGCAAACAGGAUUAGAGACCCGCGUAGUCCCUGUCUCUUAUAC